Long non-coding RNA from Mastomys coucha (southern multimammate mouse), 895 nucleotides. RefSeq lists it as uncharacterized. The record is from RefSeq and is a predicted model, not a curated record. The transcript is spliced from 3 exons. NCBI's taxonomy places the organism in Eukaryota, Metazoa, Chordata, Mammalia, Rodentia, Muridae.
UUUAGGGAGCUCAGAGGGAGCCCCCACGAGAAAGAGUCAGUCACCCCGCUAGGCCAGGGAACUUCAUCUCCGCCAGGCAGAGAAGCGUGGCCCAGGAACCGCCGUCUGCAACCUUCACCCUAAGCCCACCGAUCUGCGGGCACAGCUAGGAUGAUUUCCCUAGGAAACUACGAUUUAUCAACAGAUUUAGGAAGGCUUACCAACAUUAAAUUACGGGUGAAUUAGGGUCCUUUUGCUUCUUCUCCAUCCUUGUCCAGAGACAGCAGGGCAGCUCACCUCCAGCCCAAGACUCAUAAAAGAAAUCUCCAAGAAGACAUGCUCCUGUGGAGAGGAGAUCUGAGUCAGUGUCUGCUGAAAGCCUCUUUGUAGUGAGUGAACUGACUUGUGCGGUUUCUGCUUUGAGCUCAAAGACAGACCUCAAUAUCGGGUCUUCAAGAUUCAAGUUUGUGCCUUCAGCUUCAUGCACAGCCGUACUCUGUUCUCUACGCCCAUUCACUGAUUAAAACUCAGCCUGCUGAUCUGAAAAUUCUCUUUAGCAACAGCCUUGUGCAUUCUGUGCUGUGCAGGAGCUUAUGAUAGGAGCUACUGACAUUUAUCUUAGCUAUAGGCCCUGCCUCUUCAGAGCUCUAGCUGUCCUGGAACUCUGUAGAUAAGGCUAGCCUAGAACUCAAGAUAUCUGCCUGCCUCUGCCUCCCCGGUGCUAAAAUACCCACUGGGCCAUUGACUAUAGGUCCUUGAUGACUGUGUUGAAGGAGUUCUCCACUGCGGUCUUAGAAGUGUGGCAAAAGUAGUACCCCGGGCCAGCCUCAGCAACACUAAAUAUCUGGAGUCUGUUUGUUUCUAGUGAAGGUUUGGGUCAAGACUUACAGGUACUAAACUAAAAUUUUUUCCAACC